AGAAUCCUACGGGGCGCAGCAGUGGGGAAUAUUGGGCAAUGGGCGCAAGCCUGACCCAGCAACGCCGCGUGAAGGAAGAAGGCUUUCGGGUUGUAAACUUCUUUUAAGAGGGAAGAGUAGAAGACGGUACCUCUUGAAUAAGCCACGGCUAACUACGUGCCAGCAGCCGCGGUAAUACGUAGGUGGCAAGCGUUGUCCGGAUUUACUGGGUGUAAAGGGCGUGUAGCCGGGUUGACAAGUCAGAUGUGAAAUCCUGCGGCUUAACCGCAGAACUGCAUUUGAAACU
Molecule: ribosomal RNA, 286 nt
Filed under: uncultured bacterium
Lineage: Bacteria
Description: partial 16S ribosomal RNA
Rfam family: Bacterial small subunit ribosomal RNA
Source: RNAcentral